This 77-nucleotide non-coding RNA is filed under the name uncultured Escherichia sp. Its description in RNAcentral is "Nucleoid-associated noncoding RNA 4 (CssrE)". It matches the Rfam family "Nucleoid-associated noncoding RNA 4 (CssrE)". From Rfam's summary of the family: In E. coli small RNA transcribed from repeated extragenic palindromic element (REP325) called nucleoid-associated ncRNA 4 (nRNA4) collaborates HU protein in condensing the DNA. The secondary structure but not the sequence of the RNA is important in nucleoid condensation. Lineage: Bacteria; Pseudomonadati; Pseudomonadota; Gammaproteobacteria; Enterobacterales; Enterobacteriaceae. The record is from RNAcentral.
GGCCGGAUCAGGCGUUUACGCCGCAUCCGGCAUUAGGUGCCAGUGCCUGAUGCGAUGCUUACGCAUCUUAUCAGGCC